Molecule: ribosomal RNA, 407 nt
Filed under: uncultured bacterium
Lineage: Bacteria
Description: partial 16S ribosomal RNA
Rfam family: Bacterial small subunit ribosomal RNA
Source: RNAcentral
AUUGAACGCUGGCGGCAGGCCUAACACACGCAAGUCGAGCGGAGCGGCGGAAGGGUGAGUAAUGUCUGGGAAACUGCCUGAUGGAGGGGGAUAACGUCCGGAAACGGCCGCUAAUACCGCAUACUAUCAGAUGAGCCUAGGUCGGAUUAGCUAGUUGGUGGGGUAAAGGCCUACAAAGGCGACGAUCCGUAACUGGUCUGAGGGGAUGAUCAGUAAAAUGGUAACGGAGACACGGUCCAGACUCCUACGGGAGGCAGCAGUGGGGAAUAUUGGACAAUGGGGGAAGGCCUGAGCCAGCCAUGCGGCGGGUGGGAAGAAGGUCUUCGGAUUGUAAAGCACUUUAAGUUGGGAGGCGUUACCAACAGAAUAAGCAACGGCUAACUUCGUGCCAGCAGCCGCGGUAAUAC